This 459-nucleotide ribosomal RNA is filed under the name uncultured bacterium. Its description in RNAcentral is "partial 16S ribosomal RNA". It matches the Rfam family "Bacterial small subunit ribosomal RNA", at positions 338 to 795 of the family's 1533-position model. The record is from RNAcentral.
CCUACGGGAGGCAGCAGUGAGGAAUAUUGGUCAAUGGCCGGAAGGCUGAACCAGCCAAGCCGCGUGAGGGAGGAAGGCGCCAAGCGUUGUAAACCUCUUUUGUCGGGGGACAAAAGCCGGCACGAGCCCGGUCCCGAGGGUCCCCGGAGAAAAAGCAUCGGCUAACUCCGUGCCAGCAGCCGCGGUAAUACGGAGGAUGCGAGCGUUAUCCGGAUUUAUUGGGUUUAAAGGGGGCGCAGGCGGACUGUUAAGUCAGCGGUAAAAGGGCGGGGCUCAACCCCGGCGAGCCGUUGAAACUGGGGGUCUUGAGUGUGCGAGAGGUAUGCGGAAUGCGCGGGGUAGCGGUGAAAUGCAUAGAUAUCACGCAGAACCCCGAUUGCGAAGGCAGCAUACCGGCGCGCAACUGACGCUCAGGCACGAAAGUGUGGGUAUCGAACAGGAUUAGAUACCCCUGUAGUC